AGAGUUUGAUCAUGGCUCAGGACGAACGCUGGCGGCGUGCUUAACACAUGCAAGUCACGGGGGUCCGGGGGCAACUCCGGAUAACCGGCGAACGGGUGCGUAACACGUGAACAACCUGCCCUCGUGUGGGGGAUAGCCAUGCUAACGCGUGGGUAAUACCGCAUACGUUCCUCUGGGGGAGUCCUUGGGGGAGGAAAGCUCCGGCGCACGGGGAGGGGUUCGCGGCCUAUCAGCUCGUUGGCGGGGUAACGGCCCACCAAGGCGACGACGGGUAGCUGGUCUGAGAGGACGAUCAGCCACACUGGGACUGAGACACGGCCCAGACUCCUACGGGAGGCAGCAGUGGGGAAUAUUGCGCAAUGGGCGAAAGCCUGACGCAGCAACGCCGCGUGGGGGAUGAAUGCCUUCGGGUUGUAAACCCCUUUCAGCAGGGACGAAACUGACGGUACCUGCAGAAGAAGCCCCGGCCAACUACGUGCCAGCAGCGGCGGUAAUAC
Molecule: ribosomal RNA, 497 nt
Filed under: uncultured bacterium
Lineage: Bacteria
Description: bacterial SSU rRNA
Rfam family: Bacterial small subunit ribosomal RNA
Source: RNAcentral